This 26-nucleotide non-coding RNA is filed under the name Rattus norvegicus (Norway rat). The record is from RNAcentral. Lineage: Eukaryota; Metazoa; Chordata; Mammalia; Rodentia; Muridae.
GGUACUUCUAGUGGAUAUAUGGCACC